This is a long non-coding RNA of Panthera uncia (snow leopard), 688 nucleotides long. RefSeq lists it as uncharacterized. The transcript is spliced from 3 exons. Lineage: Eukaryota; Metazoa; Chordata; Mammalia; Carnivora; Felidae. The record is from RefSeq and is a predicted model, not a curated record.
AAUCCACUAUUGAAAAAGCAGAGCCUUGGCAGUAUUUAUUAGUGAAUCCAGUGAACUUUCAAGGACAUUCUCUGGCUAAGCAGUGCAAUAUGAGGUAAUAAUUAAAGUUAUUCUCAGGUCCCAAAGGGAGCUCAGAGAAUAUCACUCCAUUGAAGUUCCCUGGAGCCUUCUAGAAUGUCAGCUUAACCCAGCUUCCAUGUUGGGUUGCUUCCACAGUUUUAGAUUUCUUGGGAUUCUAUGUUAUGAACUCAGAAGACCUGAUUUUUAUGAUUGUCAUCUCAAAAUAGCCUUCAUAUUCAUACUCAAAUGUCACUUCUUGAUGUCGUCUGUUUCAUUGUACCCAUUUAUGAGCAAGGACUGAGUUCCCUCUACACUAGACCAUAUGGAAGACUGAACCAGGAAGAGGUAUUUCCGCUGAGGCGAUGCAUACAAACCAUUAUGCAAAUUGAAUGCACUCAGAGCAUGGUUUCCCCACAUAGUGCUGAAUUUUCUAGAAGACUCAUCAUGAAAAGCGGCCUCACUGAUGCUUACGUUAGCACUGAUGACCUAGUCCAGGUGUCUGGCCUCACAGAUGAGGAAAUGCAAGACCUCACGGGGGUAAAAUCCCUUCAUCCUUACCUUACACCACUGCCUGCUAAGACACCCCAAAGUGCCUUCCAUCUGUGCAAAUGAAGUCUCUAGGAGAUGC